Leucoraja erinaceus (little skate) is the source of this 959-nucleotide long non-coding RNA. RefSeq lists it as uncharacterized. NCBI's taxonomy places the organism in Eukaryota, Metazoa, Chordata, Chondrichthyes, Rajiformes, Rajidae. The record is from RefSeq and is a predicted model, not a curated record. The transcript is spliced from 3 exons.
CAGACACACAAUGCUGGAGUAACUCAGUGGGACAUGCAACAUCUCUGGAGCACGUAGAUCUGUGCACUUUCAGUCUGUAUUAGUAAACCAUCAUCUGCAGUUCCUUGUAUUGGAAAAGGAGCCUUCACACUUAUUAACCGAGGCGGGAUCUGUGAGGGAAUAUAAAGACCUCUCCCUGUCACCAGCCUCACUCACAUUGACACAGGAGCGGCAGAGAUGAUGAAGACAACCUCCUGCUUCCUGUUCGCAGUUCUCACUGUCCUCCUUCUGGUCCAUUCCAUCGACUGUGAGGAGGAGCUCACUUUCUGCAAGACGGUGUACGGAGCGUGCAGAGAAGAGCCAUGCUAUGAGCACGAGGUCGAAAAACCUGGUGACUGCGAUAUCCACAAGUGUUGUGAGGUUAUUCCCAUCUCAUAGAAGGGGCAAGAUGUCUGGAAGAUUCUCCAGGACUCCAGCAGUGGGCUCCUCGCCAACUUGUGAUGUCACUGUCCACAAUGUGUGAUUAAAGCCUGCUUCCCCACCAUCCCCUUGUCCUCGUCUUGAUUCCCAUUAGACUUGGAAGGCGGAACAGUACGGCACAGGAACAGGCCCUUCGGCCUGCGCUGUCCAUGGUGAACGCGAUCCCAAGGUAAACCAAUCUACUCUGCCCGCAUGUGGACCAUGUCCCUCCAUUCCCUCCUGUCUCCAUUAAUAGCCUGUGGAACACCUCUGUGGUAUCUGCCUCCACCACUGACGGGCCAGUUGUGUUCAUCACAGCUUUGAUCUGGACCUUUAAGAGCCUGUCCCACGAGCAUGCGACUCCAUGCGGCAAGCGCGAUCUAACGUGGUCGCUUGAGCCGUACGGCCUCGCAGGGCCGGUCCCACUUCGAUCGCCGGAGCCGUAUGGAGUUGUGCGGAGCUGUUCCCGACAUCGCGCGGGGCUCCGAAAAACUGACCGUGUUCAAAAAUUCCGUGCGACA